UCGGAGCGUAAACUCCUUUUUAUCAGGAAAGAAUAAAUGACGGUACCUGAUGAAUAAGCACCGGCUAACUCCGUGCCAGCAGCCGCGGUAAUACGGGGGGUGCAAGCGUUACUCGGAAUCACUGGGCGUAAAGGACGCGUAGGCGGAUUAUCAAGUCUUUUGUGAAAUCUAGUGGCUUAACCACUAAACUGCUUAGGAAACUGAUAGUCUAGAGUAGGGGAGAGGUAGAUGGAAUUCUUGGUGUAGGGGUAAAAUCCGUAGAGAUCAAGAAGAAUACCCAUUGCGAAAGCGAUCUGCUGGAACCUAACUGACGCUGAGGCGUGAAAGCGUGGGUAGCAAACAGGAUUAGAUACCCUGGUAGUCCACGCCCUAAACGAUGUAUACUAGUUGUUGCUUUGCUAGUCAAGGCAGUAAUGCAGCUAACGCAUUAAGUAUACCGCCUGGGGAGUACGGUCGCAAGAUUAAAACUCAAAGGAAUAGACGGGGACCCGCACAAGCGGUGGAGCAUGUGGUUUAAUUCGAAGAUACGCGAAGAACCUUACCUGGACUUGACAUCCUAAAAACAUCUAAGAGAUUAGAAAGUGCUAGUUUACUAGAAUUUAGUGACAGGUGCUGCACGGCUGUCGUCAGCUCGUGUCGUGAGAUGUUGGGUUAAGUCCCGCAACGAGCGCAACCCACGUGUUUAGUUGCUAACAGCUCGGCUGAGCACUCUAAACAGACUGCGCUUCGUAAGGAGGAAGAA
Molecule: ribosomal RNA, 742 nt
Filed under: Campylobacter ureolyticus
Lineage: Bacteria; Pseudomonadati; Campylobacterota; Epsilonproteobacteria; Campylobacterales; Campylobacteraceae
Description: bacterial SSU rRNA
Rfam family: Bacterial small subunit ribosomal RNA
Source: RNAcentral